GCGCGAAGUUGCCUAGUGGACAUGGCAUCUGCCCGGUAAGCGGAACACUGUGGGUUCGAUUCCCCUUCCUGGACA
This 75-nucleotide transfer RNA is filed under the name Cordylochernes scorpioides. RNAcentral describes it as "tRNA-Thr". The record is from RNAcentral. Lineage: Eukaryota; Metazoa; Arthropoda; Arachnida; Pseudoscorpiones; Chernetidae.